This 292-nucleotide ribosomal RNA is filed under the name uncultured bacterium. Its description in RNAcentral is "partial 16S ribosomal RNA". The record is from RNAcentral.
GGACUACUGGGGUAUCUAAUCCUGUUUGCUCCCCACGCUAUCGCGCCUGAGCGUCGGUAACGGGCCAGUGAGCCGCCUUCGCCACUGGUGUUCUUCCGAAUAUCUACGAAUUUCACCUCUACACUCGGAAUUCCACUCACCUCUCCCGUACCCAAGUCCUCUAGUCUCAAAGGCCAUUCCAGGGUUGAGCCCUGGGCUUUCACCCCUGACUUGAAGGACCGCCUGCGCGCGCUUUACGCCCAGUAAUUCCGAACAACGCUAGCCCCCUUCGUAUUACCGCGGCUGCUGGCAC